CUUUGAUUCGUAGGAUUUUGUAAACAUAGGAAUAGGAUUUGUAGUUGCCUGCCCACUUGAAUCCUAUAAGAAUAGCAAGGAAAUGCGGGGAGCUGUGUCGCCUUUGAGAGUUACACUAAUAUUAACAGUACCGCACCUUCACUUGAAGAGUGCUGGUAUCCGAAGCCUUUCUAGUCGUACCGGCAAUACUAGCACAUAUAUUCCAGCAAGUUCCACUUUGCUGAUUUUACUCUGAUGCUUAAGGUUUUCCCGUUAUAUCUACACUAUGAUCUGUGUAUCUGCUUUGUGUCGCACUAGCAGCAGUCCACUCUUGAAGCUAAACACUGCAAUGACUUACAAAAUUGGCACCAAGGCAUUGAGUGCCAUUCUGGAUGCAAUGAAACUCAUACGCUCCCCACCUGUUGACUCUUGUUCAGAAUAUGAUCCUAAUGACUCUUAUUCAAAAUUGCCACAUAUAGAGAGACAGCAUGGAAUUGCAUUUCUUUGGGCGCUAUGAUUCAUCAUGAGUGGGCAACCAACAUUGUAUGCAAUGAAGCGGAACCUCAAGAAUAUGCUUCCUCUUCUGUUCUUUAACAUGUUCCUCUUUGUUUAUUCUGUAUUUAGUACGUACAGUAUGUUCCUUGUCAGGAAGGGGCGCAGGGACAUCUGCAGUCAACAGCUGAUAGAGCUGGCUUGUACGUGAUCGAUAGACUUUCAAUUACUAGCGGCAAUACAACACCGUAUUUUCAAGCCAAUUCCACUUUCCUGAUUUAUAUAUUGUGGUUAUGGUGUACCCUUGUUAUGUACACUAUGAUCUGCCUAGUUUCUGUGUUCUCUUGUUAUCAUGGUUUGGCAAUAAACUCUCUAUACAGUAUAUUAUGAACCUAUCAUCUGCCAACUAUCCUUACUUCUGGAGCCUAUUUUUUGUGUACUUGUGCCAGAUUAUAUAAAGCACGCACCAUAUUACAGCACACAUGAGCUCUCUCAUUAGAAUCCAGUGAUAGCACAUAAGUGUUUACAGGGGCGCCCCUAUAUUAGAAUAUCAUCUGCAUUACAAAGAUAAUAUCACAACUAUUUAUGUUUUCAUGGUUCUCAGAUAUUAUACGUAAUUACAAUUAAUAUUAGAAUCCGCGCAUCAGAAGAAUAUUGUGGAACACUGCAAUGACUUACAAAAUUGACACCAAGGCAUUGAGUGCCAUUCUGGAUGCAAUCAAACUCAUAUGCUCCCCACCUAUAGAUUCUUGUUCAGAAUAUGAUUCUAAUGACUAUUCUAACCUCGAUGAGUCAAAGGCAGAUGGCCUGUCAUGUUCACCCAUCAAGGUGCCUGUUAUAAUUUGGCAAGGUUUUAUUGAUUGCGCGUAUCUUGCAUAUGUUGUCUUGCAUUUCUUCUACUUUGUUGCACCACCAUCUGCUUAGUUUACUCAUCAUAUAUGUCGAGAUGCCAUGCCCAUCAUUAUCAAUACAUAUUUCAUCUGUCAUCAUACCAUGUUUUUCCACUCAAAUGUUGUUCUUGUGCAUCAGACAUCAAAAAGGAAGAGGGUGAUUGCUGAACCUGAAGGAUCACCAGCAAAGUCCUUGAAAAACGUGGUUGUGCCGGAGAAAUCAAACAGCACCCCACUUAUAUUGGUUGUACAACCAGUGACACAAAACAUAGGACCGACUCCAGCAGACUAUACCCAUACUUCACUGGCCGCACCACUAGCCCCACCACACAGGACCUGCACUCCAGCAAAAGGUAUGCCGAUUUCAGUUACCAUAGCACCAGCCAUACCACAAAAAAAAUCCCACUCCGGCAAAAAGUAUAGCAAGUCCACUGGCCGAAGACCUAUUCCAACUGUAGAGACGGCCAAUUCCUGCAGAUUGGAACCCCAUUCCAGUUAUUCCCAGUUUAAAAUACAAUGCUUUCAAUGUUGUUAGGGACUACGUGCAUAUAUUCCCAUCAUGGGAAGAUUAUAGUGAAGACAAACACCAUUUUCACAUCUUCCUGUCCCACUUACGUGUAAGUGCUAUUAUUCAAGGUUAUUAUUUCCUAUUUUCUGCUGAUUGAACACAUCAAUGAUUUACACUGCAUUGUUGUAAAUAGACGAGGAUCAAUCUGGAUGGUCAUGACGAGCAAAGCUUGCUUGUACUUUUCAAGGAAGCAUUGCAGCAGUAUCGGUGUUACCUUUUUUUUGCGGGGGAGUAUCGGUGUUACCUGAGGAAAUCACACUUUGAUGGCAAGUCUAUAAACGAAUUUCAGGUGAAGUCUCCUGUGCUAAAUUUAGAAGACAUUAAAUGGAAAAACCUUAUUAUGCACUGGUCUCAUUCCGAGGAUGAGGUACUAUCUAUGAUAUCGCAUGACAAUUUGAACUUCUACUUUUCCGCAUGUGCCUUACGGAUCUUUUUUGCAGGAAAUCUGCUCGAAAAAGAAUUCCGGUUUGAAAAGAACGACAGGAUAUCGCAAAUAUGCUACCCGCUGCUUUGCUCUUGUUAGUACCUGUUGUCUUGUAUCAUUGUACUUGUAUACAUACCUGGUUCAUUAUGUGACAGCAGUAUGCAUGAUAGCUUGCUUAUCAAUUGUUCGCUCCAAAUUAUCUGAUCUGUAUGAAUGGUUACAUUAGUGUAGAAUAUAUUCAAUACCAAUGAAAUUUUUUAGCUCUGCAUUGUUCUUGUAAGUAUCUGCUGUCCUUUAUCAGUGUACUUAUAUUGACAGGUAGUUGUUCAUGUACCAUCACUCUGCAGCUUAUUUUCCUUUACCCUCCAUUUUCUACACAUCAGAUCUAUAUUUACUCUUACCAUAAGGUUGGAUAACACCGAUGGUACUGAAGAAGUUUAGCUCUGCAUUGCUCUUGGAUGUACCUUUUGCCUAUAUCGCUGUACUUAUAUUUAUAGCUACUUGGUUAUGUAGCAUCACUCUUCAUCUUAUCUUAAAUAUUCUCCAUUUUUUCUUAUAUUGUCAAAUCUAUAUUUACUCUUAACAAAAUGUAGAAUAAAGGCAAUGCUUAUGAAGAAGAUUAUGUGGUAAACUUCUUGAAUUGCCCCCCCCCCAUCAAAAUGUACAAGGGCUUUAUAGAGCCUGUCUUCACCAAUAAUGUAAGUUUGUCCUUCUCAAGCCUUCAAACUUUGUUGUGUAUAUUUGGUUAGGCAUGACUGCAACAGUUGUUUAUUUUUGGUGUUUGCAUCAAAUUGCAUGUUUAAAGUUUAUUAUGUAGUUCAUAAACAAAAGUUUGUCCUUCUCAAUUUAAGUUUUCAGUUGUACAACCAAGUUCCUUCUUCAUGCCAUGUAAAUUAAACUAUACAGAGUAAGUGAUCUUAUUUUUCCAAUCUGAAAUGGGUAAAUUGAUAGCACACUUACCAUUGAUACUUAUGAGUUCUUGAUCUGUAAUCCAGUGGUGGCGUGAAGCUGCCAACUCCUUCAUAAUGUCAUUUCCUGCCAUGUCUUGACCUGAACAAUACCAUAUUGUGUUAAUGCUAUUUUAAACUGUGUCACUUUAUUCGUCAGUAAGAAAUGUGAUGAAUUGUCAGCACUAAUACUUAUAUGUGCAAAACCUGUCAUCUGUCUGCUUGUUUAUCUUUUAGAGUAAGGAGGAUAUAAGUGUCAAACAAGUGCAGUCUCAUUAGCUUGCUCAGCUGCUUGCGCUGCAGCUUCCGAGCGGGGCUAACCUUUCUUGAACUCUAUUGAAGUGUUGGUUUUGUAUAUUAUUUUGCCGGUGCGUUUAAUUGCACUGGUGGUGAUCUUUGAUGCCUAGUGUAUGUAAUCUGUUGUCUUCUUGUGCUUUAUUAUCAUAGUGGCGAACUUUGAUGCCCAUUGGAUGUAAUAUGUCGUAAUUUAUUUAUUGUAUAGUCUAGGUUUUUUCUUAUUCACGAUGUUCCAGUUAUUUUACUGUAUAUAUAUCUUGUCUUCGCAGUAAACCGGCCAAACCGUAAAAUUACAGUACAUAAUCGGGUCGUCAUGCAAAUCACUAUGUAUGAUCCGCAUCAUGGGCCCCGUCAUCUUGGUCCGUUAACAGGCCUAAAUGUAAACUGGCCCACUAGUAGAUUCGGGGCUUUAAUAGGCCGAGUAAACCGCCGGCCCUAUUUUCCCAGGAAAACUCAAUGGGCUUUUAGGAGGCCGAAAAGUAAGUUGGGCCUAAAACAUGCCGAACAGCUCACGGGCCGGCAGCAGGCCGAAAUAGACCCCGGCCCAUGACUAUGCCAAUCAAAUCAUGGGCUUAUAACAGGCCAAAAUUGUCUCGGUCCUUGUUUGGCCCAAUCAGAUUAUCGGUUGUGAGUAGGCCGGAUGCAAACGGGAUCGUAGUUAGGCCCAACUAUAUGACGGGCUUUUAACAGACCGAAAUAUAUAUAUGGCCAAAAUGUUAAACGGGUCUUUAACAGGCCGAAACUAAUAUCAGGCCGAAUUACUAAAUGGCCCUUUAUCAAGUGGGCCCAAAAGCAUAGCGUCCAGUUGACGGACCGAAUCUGAUAUGGGUCAUAAUUUAGCCCAAAGCCUCUCAAAGGGCCGGACCUGAUCUGGGCCGUAAUUUGGCCCAGAACGUGGGAGGCUUUUAACGGGCCGGAUCUCAUAUGGGCCUCUAUUAGGCCCGGAAUGUGGCAGACUGUUAAUGGACCGGAUCAAAUAUGGGCCGGCAUUUGGCCCAAAACAUGGCAUCCUGUUAAUGGGCCGGCCUACUAGUGUCAUCAAAAUCGUUUGGGCCUUCAGCUGGGCCGGCCCAUUAUGGGCAGCGGAAUCUCGUGGGCCUUUAGUUGGGUCGGCCCAUUAUGGUCCGCAAAGUCUUGGGGGCCUUUAGCUGGGCCGGCCCGUUAUGGCCCGCAAAAUCUCACGGGCCUUUAGCUGGGCCGGCCCAUUAUGGCCCGCAAAUACUUGUGGGCCUUUAGCUAGGCCGCCCCAUUAUGGGCCGCAAUAUCUCGUGGGCCUUUUGCUGGGCCGCCCCAUUAUGGACCACAAAAUCUUGUGGCCCUUUAGUUGGGUCGGCCCAUUUGAACUUUAUGGGCCACUUUUGGUCCGGUCCACGUGUCAACAUUUCAUAAGCGCAUCUCGGCCAUUGGAUGAGUGACACCUGUGCCAACGGGGAGCUGACACGUGUUUCCUCCAGCCAAUAAUGAUUUUACACGUGGAAAAUCCCCAUUGGUCCGGGAUGUUAAUGGGUUAUCGGAUCCAAAACGGGACCCGGUAGCUUAACGGCGUUCCAUUACGCUGGAUGCCACGUGUCGGUCACCCUUGACGAAAGCACUUCUGUGACGCGCGAUUUAUCGUCAUGGAAGUGGACACUUCCGUGAUGAUAAUUUUGGUAAUGUCAUGGAACACUUCUACGACAGCACAGGUAUGACUAUCUUGAUUCUGUCAUAAAAUCGUCAUGGAUGUACAUGCAUGACAGAAAACGCGACCUACUGUGACAAACAUGUAUCAUCAUGGAAGUGUAUUUUUUUGUAGUGUAAGCUCUUUGCCGUCGGCUGGCGGACGGCAAAGAACGUCGUUAACCCCCUAACGGCUCUCAACCAACAUCGCUGCCGUCCGUCGUCAUUGCCGUCUGCUGGCCUCGGAUGGCGGAUGGCACAAUCCUUUGCCGUUCGUUUCUACGAAGCGAACGGCAAAGAAGGCCUUUACUGGCACGUGUUCAGCCGGACGGUUUGCCGUCUGCUGGCUGACGGCAAAGGACUUUGUUGUCCGGGAUCCGUGCAUUUGCCGUUCGCCAUGGCGGACGGCAAAGAAGCUGAUUCCAGUAGUGUCAAACAACAUAUCAUUUCUAGACUUCCAAGUGCACCACGUGAAAUUGAGUAUAUUUAUCAAGGAGCCAUGUGGGUGAUUCAUAUUUAGUAAAUUCAAAAUGAUUUGAGAUAACGAGUUGCAAUUUUGAAUAAGGAUAUCGGUACGAAUGAACCAAGGCUCCAAGAACCAAGAUGCUUUGAUAAAAGGGCAAGUGAGAAAAGGUGUACAUCAUCUUCUUCAAGUCCACACCUUCCCUAUGUGUACGGAGAAUCUACCUGCUCGAGCACCAGUGGGAAGAGCCCUCCGAAGGAACCUCCAAGCAAAAGUUUGAACUCUUGGGAUUAUGGAUGUGUCUUUCCAUACUUGAUUAAGGAUUUGGCAUGAUGUUGGAGAUGGCUGCCUCGGUCUAUCCUCGCCUAAGUUAUACAAGUCCUACACACAAGCAUAAUAUACACUCUUGGCAUAGCAUCUGCCAUUGUUUGUUAGCUUCCAGCAAAGUAAAUCAUCUUCAUUUGAAUUUAGAAUAGGAGUGCACUUGACGGCCUGAGCAAUUGGAGGUCUAAAAAUAGUGUCAAUAAGCUCAUGAUUCCAUUUCUUUUGGUUAGGGACCCACAGGUCCUUGACAAGAGCAGGAUAAGUGAAUUUUGGUGCUUGAAUGAUUAAAUUUCCGUAGAUAGAAGCCCGGGAGGAGCACCAGGCUGAAUUUCAGAUAGAAACAUUGCCUACACUUCACUGAUAGAAAGAAUGGGCCUAAAGAAUGUGAAUGAUUUUGAGGAUAGAGGCCCAGAAAGCUGAUUUGGGGAUAUUGGGCUUGGGGCACCAGAUAGAUGAAUCUCGGAAUUACUUGGCCCGCCGGAUCUUGUGGAGUUGAUCAUUAGGGUUUUGAGCAAUGCGCGAGGCCGACAUGAGGAUUAAGCUUUGAUUGACCGCCUGCAAAUUCCUAAUACCCAAACCGCCUUAUUUUUUUUGAGCACGGAUGUCUUUCCAAGCUUUGAGGCAGAGCUGCGAGUGGAUUCCUCUAUGAUUCCGGUCCACCAGAAGUUCCUGAUGAUGGCUGUCAAUUUUGCAAUAAACUUCUUAGAGAACAAAAUGUUAGGCAUGUAAUAAACAUGGAUUGAGGAGAAAACAGAUUGAAUGAGUUGAAGCCGAGCUGCGUGUGAAAGUUUAUCAGCUUUAUAAGUGCUAAGCUUGGACUUCAAUUUAUCUAGGACAAAGUUAUAAGCCGAGAUUCUAUUUUUCGCCAGGAGAAGAGGGUGGCCCAAGUGAACAAAGGAAUCAUCUGCUGCAGCACCUUGGGUGGCCUAGGCAGAAAGCCAAAAUAUACACCUACCAUGGCUUGCAGCAGGCACAAACGCAAACAAGAAAUUAAUGUCAUCUCAUCCAAGUAUAAUUAACGUGCUGAGAUCCGUAAUGUUAGUAGCCAGAGAUUGACCAUACAUUUGCGGAACAAAACAUGAGUUAUUUGUAGCAAAACUAGUACAAUGAGAAACUUCUUUUGAAUACGAAUCAAACAAUAUAACUUUUGUGACAUAUCACCUAUAAUUUACAAAUCAAAUUUAUGAUCAAAGUUUGUCCCAUGGCCCCAAAAAACCAGACAAUUAGAGAGUACAUGCCAUGGCAAUUAAUUACUACUCUCGCCAUCUUCUCUUUUUGAGAGAAUGCCAUCAUGGCUGCUUUAUUUCAGCUGGUAAUAGGGUUACAUGGUUUGCAAGAUUAAGAACUAAAAGGUCAUCAACCCAAUUACAGAAAGAAUUAUUACUCCCUCCGUCUAGGUGAGUAAGUCAUCUUAGAUUGUGCACCGUGACCAAGAAGGAGGGAAACGAGAAAACUUAAUGUUCAUUUGCUAAUUAAUAGCAUUGCAUGCAAUGAACUAACCACUGCAUGUCGUGCUUGGUAGUCUCAAGUCAUUAAAAGCAUGCACACCCCACAUCUCUUAUUGGUUGAUAUGUCGAGAAACAAGAAACGAUGUAGAAUUUAAUGCACCGCGCCUAAGUGUUUUGAGAUUAUUUGGUUUUCGUAAGAUGACUUGCACACCUAGACGGAGGGAGUACCAUAGGCCAUCUUAAUGCUCAUAUGCACUCACGCUCAGUUCCAUCGAAUUGUGACGAGCAUGCUGCACCUGUUAGCAGAUUGACCACCAACAAAAGCAUAUAUGGCCAGACUUCCUUUAGAAAUGACACGUGUCCAUAUAUUGAGUCAAAGGCAGUACAGACACGCGUACGCACUACAAACAACUCGAAGGACAUGUGUCCCGGAGCACAUUGCAGAAAAGACCUUGGAAAGUCCUCCUCCCAAGGAAAGUCUCCUUCCUCCUCUCGUCGGCGCCGCCGCGGAUCCGCCCUUCCUCCAAUGGCCUUUGGCCUGUGAAGGUGCGGAGGAUCUCGCACCCCCGCCGGCGGGAGGGACCCCGUUCUCGUUUUUGCUAGGUUUAAUGUUUUCGUUGGGGCUGUGUGGCGGCGGCGAUGUCCCUCGGUAGCAAUAAUGUCUCCCACGUGCUAUCCCCAUCCCGAUGGUGCGAAUAGCGUUGUCGAAGAAUGUGGGGGUGUGUCUCCGUCGGAUCUUAUGUGAUUCGAUCGGUGCUGGUCUUCGAUGGAUCUAUUUGGAUCCAGUUUUUGUUCGUCUUUGUUUGUGUGGUUUCAGGUUUGAUCUUUCCGAUUUACAACUCUAUUCAUCGGUUGCUGCUCUGGUGUGCUGGUCCUUUGGGGCCUUAGCACGACGACUUCCUGACUGUCUGCUACAACAAAUUUUGCCCGGCUCCGGUGAUGGACGGGCGAUGACGGCAGCGCCCCUUCGGCUCGCUUCAGUGCUUGUAGUCGUCGCCAUGUGGUCCAUAGACCCGGCUGUAAUUUUUAUUACCUCUUGUGUUCCCUGUACUGCCCUGAUUAAUGAAUAGAUUGGAAAUUUCUCUCGCAGAAAAAAGACCUUGAAAAGCAAAAAUUACAAGAAAGUCCUUCUAAGUCCUUUCCCCUGCGUCUUUGACAGGAUCGAACUACUCCCUCCUUUCCGGUUUAUAAGGCUCAAUUUAAAAAUCUCACCGACCAAGGUAGAUGGUGAAUGAUGGAAUAUUUUUUAUAGUUUGCAAAAGCACCUAAUUAAUGCUCUUGUUUUUCUCAAAAAAUUAUAUUUAUCAAUGCAUUAAUUGCAAUGCAUGCAUGCAUAAAAUACAUGCAUUGGUCAAUUUUCUCUCAAUAUUUGCAUGCAAUGAUUUAAUGCACCUUGGAAUCUGAACAUGUGAUGGAAAACAACCAAAUUGAGCCUUAGGCUGGUCAUAGUGGGAGUAACAUAGCAAGUAACAUAACACAUCCCAAGAAAAGUUUGCUUACAUGUCAUGUAUUUAAUGAGGAGAGAGAUGGUUGGAGUAACAUAAUAUGUUACUGUAACAUAACACAUCCCAAGGCAAAAUGAGUCUACAUCUUAAUAAAUGAUGGCUUGCAUGUUACUACAUACAUGUUACUCCCCACUAUGAAGGUGGUAACAUAGACUAGUAAGCCCUAUAAAAUGGGAAAACCAAAAUUUUGAGAUAAGCCCUAUAAACCGGAAAGGAGGGAGUAGCACUCAAACAUGACACAGGUGGAUUCAAACAUGAACGAGCCUCAAAUCGCAGAGGAACUAGCUAGGGUUUUGAUUAGGGAGGAAAGUAGAGGUCAAUCACUCGAGUGACGGCUCGGGUUUACAACCCGGUUUACGAGCUUGACAGCGAGCUGAGCAGAUAGAUACAGUAAAAGCGCGUGCAACAGUGAUUUGAUCGUAGCCGUUGAUGACGCCUUUAUUAACUCUGUGUAGCGCUUCGUUGGUUGACCACUGUACAGCAGUGCCCUUGAGGUAGGACACAGCAAAUAUAGUCCUUGGAUCCAGUGGGGUUCAUGUUGUGUCAAAGUACCGUUCAAUUGUCUGUAUCCAAUGUGCAGUAUCCUCCCCUGCAAACUCAGGAAUAUUGAGCUUAGCAGGUUUGACACUGACAACCCCUCUUCUUGCGUCAUGUAGGUUACUGCUUCUAUGUGUGGUGUGUUUGUUUCCAGGUUCCACUCCCUCAUCUUCAGAGACAUACACGGCCACACAGGGGGUUCUGGUUUGUGUAGCUGAAGGGAGUUUAUCUGUUGCUGACCAUGGUGAGCGUGCCUGUAGAGGGGUCUGGUCGCCAAAUCUGCUGGGUUGUCCUAAUUGGCCGUGUAAUCAGGCACUCACCAGGACAUGCGUCUAGGGGGCUUCCUGGUUGAUUCUGCCUUUUCCACGGAAAACCCCUAGGUCUUUGUUGCCAGCAAGUAUGCCUGGAGUUCCAAGGGGUCCAUCAGCAGAGAUGAGUUUGCCCAGAUUAGGUUGUUCAAACAAGAAUCUGUCAAAACUCUUUCUUGAUCAGUGAAGUUUUGCAUGACAGAGUGCGUUCCUGCCGAUCAGUUGCACGAUGUUGUUGAAGAGUUGGAACAUCCAGUUUAUGAAAUCCAUUGGAGGGGCCAUGAUUCAGUCAGGGUUUAUGACCCGCGCUACCUGUUUCUAAUGCCACCCAACACCGCCGCCGAAGUGCACCGGAAAGGGAGGGUGGGUGGCAUUUUACCGCUGCAGAGGUGUUCUGAAGCAACCACUCUCAAGCCCAGACCUGCACUCGAGCAAUCUACCACCGCCUGCGCCACGAGCUGCCACCGGGAUCUGGGGCGGAGUCAAAGCUCCCCUACUUCCCCGAACCCACUACGCCGCCGAGAACCAUAAACUCUGAUUACCAAUUGGCAGGAUCAAACUAGCACUCAAACAUCACACGGGUGGAUUCAAACAUGAACUAGCCUCAAAUCACCGAGGAACUAGCUAGGGUUUUGAGAGGCCAGCCACUCUAGUGGCGGCUACAACCCGGUUUACAUAUGUGCCUCUCCUGAAUGGAUCUGAGAUCCUUAUAAAGCAGAGAAAGUUGCACAUGAUUUAUACCAAAAAUAAAUGGGCAGACUCAAAACUAAAUUAAUAUAUGAUGACAUCAAAGACCAAAUUUAAUAUGUAUCUUUUUGCUGACGCUUGAGGUGCCAUAGGGCAGCAGAUGCAUGAAUGAUAAAGUGCAACGUAGCACAAUUUAUACAAUAUGAAGGUAUGAAAGGGAAGAAAAUCAUGCGCGAAAUAAAAUGAAUGCAGGAACAACUAAACAGGACCGCUGAGCGAAGAAACAGAACAUUCAAGUAACAAAGGAUGUACAGUUGCAAAUAAUAGCAUUGUUUGAACAGAAGAUGUGAAGCCAUCUGCCGCUUCCCAGGGCCCUCAGCACACAGGAUUGUUUUUUUAUUAAACAAAGUAGAACCUCUUGAUGCAUCAGUAAUUCAAAGCUUUCUGAGUAUGCAAGGCAAAAUAGCUCAACAUCCAGUUCGCUAUGAGCAUUUCUCGUAAGUGUUGUAGACGACAAAAUAUACUACAGUUAGAUCCCAAUACUGCUAUAAAUCAUUAACAGAUUACAAGAUUAUAUGCAUAAUCACAUAACCACAAAUUGUAGAAAGAGAGGUCGUAUUUAUUAAAAGAAGAAAUGGGAGGCUCAGAGUUGGCUCGUCUAUCAUAUGGGCAAAACGCACUCUGUAUCCGAUACACUUGGUGAUACACGUUGGAGAUGCCCCUGUGUGACAUUUCAGCAUUCCAAUGGUUGCUCACGGAAAGCAAGCAAUCCUCAUUUGAACGCUUCCACCUAGUCACACAAAACCCUAACACAUACCAUAAAUACAAGUGAUGGUAUCUGAGAUCUCAAUAAACCCCUGAAUGAGCGCCUUACUCAUCAUCGUCAUCAACAGCACUUUGGCGCAAAUCCCACAAAGAGAAUAACAGAUGACCAGAAACCACAGGAGAAUCAGUAAAAGCAGAAAGAAUCACUAUAUCAGGAGCAAAUCAUGAACUGGUGAACACAAAAACUGGAACAUGUAUAAGUAAAUGGCUCAGAUACACUUCCAUCUCAACACCAUAAGUGAAUUUCUGGUAGGAUGACCAUGAACAUUUAUAGUAUUUGUGAACGGAGGGAGUAAUAGUUAGCCGCUAAACUGGUUACUUGCUGUGACACAAGCCAUCCUAGUUUAGCACCAAGUGAAUCAAUUCAGGUGUUAGAUAGAAGCUCUCACAGGGACGCUAUAUCAUCACAGCCAUUCAUGAACAUGACACGAAGAAAACAGUAAUCUUAACAUGCCAUAUACGACCCUUAAGUUGAAACUUGAAACCAGUAAAGAAGUAACGAGAAACCAAAAGUACAAACUGAUAAGUAGAUAAAGAAUACAGCAGAAGAAUGAAAUUAUCAAGUCAAAUUGAUAGGGAGACGGCAGGCAUCACCACCAGCAUCCUUCCUCGUCGAUGCCUCUCCCUCACAGAUGAAGCUUUAUAAGGACAUAGGGAUGGCAUGCAUUGAUAGUGGAAGUUAAGGAGGACUACAAUGGCAAAUAUCAAUAAGAAAAUUUGACAAUGGAUGCAAAAACAGGACCAAAAACUGAAAAAUAGCAUCAACAAGAAUCUGCUUUUAAAUUGGUUCAAUAAAAAGAUUUCACACCAUCUCACCUUCCCAGAAGGUCCACACAAAGAACCAGAGCCAUAACAAAGAACCCAAAGCCAUAGGUAAUGCCAGGUUUCUUUUUCAAGCUACAGGCCCACAAUGUACAGAAUAUAUACAACUUAAUUUUCGCAAUGAGCCCAUGACCAUUCACAGUUACCAAACAGGUAUUCUUAAAAUCAAGAAGAAACAGAGAAAGUUAUUAGGGAAAAUCAAGCUGUUUUCUGGAAUAUAUUCUAAAGUUACUCACUGAUCAAAAUUACUAUAACCAAACAGUAGUAGAAGUAUCAGACACAGGUGUCAUAACAAACACAUGCACGAAUAGUUCGCAAAAUCCACAAAAAAGUUGGAGUAUUACUUGAAUGGCUCAGAUUUAACCCACCAUAUAUCACCAAAGUUGGAAAAUGCUUCAGGUAGGCCUUUCGGUACCAAACAACAACAACAACAACAACAACAACAACAACAACAACAACAACAAAGCCUUUCAGUCCCAAACAAGUUGGGGUAGGCAUGUGGAUAGCUAAUUUCCAUACACCCCUGCCCAUGGCUAGUUCUUUGGUGAUAUUCCAGUCCUUCAGGUCUCUCCUUACCAUCUUUCUCUCUCUCUCUUUCCUCGCCCAGCAACAAAUAGCCGCAACUGGUAACUUGCUGUGGAGCAAGGCCUCCUAGUAUAACGACUAACUGCUAACUGGGCAAAGUUGAAUGGAACCAAUCAUCUCUAUCUCAGGAUAUGUUGAAAGAUCUCCAACACCAAAGAGGAGGAAAUCAUCAUAGCCAUUCAGAAAAGAAUAGAACUCAUCAACACAACAGAAACAAAUAUGCUGUGUUCAGAACUUAAUUUGGAACACUAUGCUGAUGGCCGUAUUACUAGCAAUGAAAGAAGCAAUUUACAUUUGUUCACUUCAGAAAAAAGGAGUAACUGCAAGCCAAACAAAAACAGGACAACAGAAAUUUUCCAUUUUGGAAAAUAAGAAAAACAUAAGGUAGAAAUCCGAGUCAAAAACAAUAGUGUGUUCGACAUAUAUAGUUUGUGCAACUAUACAGGCAAAAACAAAGCCAGCUAGAAAUCAAUCCAAGCUAGGGCGGUUGGCUUCAUCACCAACAGAAGACAUCAAUCCAAGUCCAGAUGGGACGUUACUCACAUCAACACAAUAGAGAGGAAUAGAAAAGAAAAAACAAUGCGUAAUAGAGAAGGUAAAAUCGAAUAUUUGUGGCGUAGCAAAAGAGGGCUCAGUUUUGCCUUUCGUCUUCAAGCCCAACACUCACAUCUCUUGCUGCAUAAUCUACCCAUCGCGAAUGUAUAAGAACUGUCCUGGUUAUCAUUCAUCAGAAUGACCGUCCAAGGCGCAGAACAUAAAACAUUAGCAAUGAAUUGAACAGGCUGCAAGAGAGGUAAGGGUGUGCUCUAAUUUAGUACCCAUAGGCCACAGUUGUCUUAAUUGCUCAAGACACGCUUAUUUCAGCCACGGUCAUCAUCAUCGCCCCUGGUAAGAACUCCAUCUCUUCAUCACACAGUAGCAUGCAUACAUCAUCUAUCCAUCCAUCAGGCUGGUCAUAGUGGUAAGUAAAUUGUGCAUCCAUGAUAUCCAUUACAGGUAUGCACGCAUCCAUCCAUCCUCUUUAAUUACUUGUCGGAUCAUCUUUUUUGCCUAUGUGGCAUGCAUGUUACUACUCCCUCCGUUCCAUAAUUACUGUCGUGGCUUUAGUUCAAUCUGAACUAAAACCUAAGUUACUCCCACUAUGACUAGUCCCAGUCUCAGGAGCUGCUCACUGACCAAACCUCCGAGUGUGGACGACGCAUCAGACAACGCCUUACGGUUCCCAGCCCACGCCACAACUAAAUCCAAGGCAAUGGAAUGGCAGUGGCUGGCAGCACCGUAGAGACGGAGAACUGACGUGGCAGCCACCCGGGCGAUGGGGUAGCAAGUCGGCAAUGAGAGCUUGACUGGUUUGUUUUAGAGAGAGAGAGAGAGAGAGAGAGAGAGGCGAGGAGGAUCCAUACCGGAUCCAAAACAAAAUGCAACUGAACUGAGUAUAUGUAGCAUAGCAAAAGAGGGCUCAGUUUUGCAUUUCAUCUUCAAACCCAACACUCGCAUCUCUUGCUCCAUAAUCCACCCAUCGCAGUGUAAGAGAACUGCACUGGUAAUCACUCGUCAGAACGACCGUCCAAAGGGACAGAACAUCCAACAUUGGCAAUGAAUUGGACAGGCUGCAAGAGAGGUAAGGGUGGGCUCUAAGAGCAACUCCAACAAGGAUACCGAUUUUCUGGCACUGCUUAGUCCCACCUCGCCGAGCUGUCUUGAUUGCUCAAGACAUGAUUAUUUCAGCCACAGUCAUCAUCAUCGGCAUCACCCCUCUUUUUUUUCCAAAAAGGAGGUUGAACCCCCAAGCAACAUGACCAUGAUAUCCGUACAUACAUACUCCCUCCGUUCCAAACUAAGUGUCAUGGUUUUAGUACACGACACAUUAAUGCAGCCAUCCUUCUCAGGAGCUGCUCAUACCUGGCGUCGGCCGACCAAACUUCCCAGUGCGGAGCACGCAUCAGACAACACCGUGCGGUUCCUCCCAGCCCACGCCACAACCAAACCCAAGGCAAUGGAGCAGCGGUGGCUGGCGGCACUGUAGCGGUGGGGAACUGACGCUGGUCGGCGAUCCGGCAACGAGAGCUCGCCUGAUUUGGUUCUGGUGGUGUGAACUGCACGCGCGCACGCACGCACCGAGAGAGAGAGAGAGAGAGAGAGAGAGAGAGAGAGAGAUGGGGACCGUACCGGAUCCAAAGCGAAACGCAGCCAAGCUGCGAGAAAUCCAUGGACGGCGGCUCAGAUCCCGCGCCGGCCCGACCAAGCCCUCGACCGGAGCGCACCACGGGCACCAGCAGCCCGCACGGCCGCGGACGCCUCCCGCACCGGCGGCAGUCCCGAGGGGCCUGCGAGCCGAUGCGCGAUCCGUCGCAGCGGGAGGGGCUGGCCCCGAGGGAGCGGCGACGCGGCGCGUCCGUCGGUCGGUAGCUGGCCGGCGCCGGCGGCUCCCUCCGUCAUCGCCGCCGUCAGGAGAGGGACGCGGUCAUCGGCCACGGCGAGAGGGACGGGCGCGGCGGCAGGAUUCGGUGAGAUAUGGAUAGAGCGCUCGCAUGCUAUGCUCCGCCCCGCGCGCAGCCAUGCCGCCGGUGGCCUCUCGCAGCCGGAGUGGUCCGAGGCAUAGCUAGCUAGCUAGGGUUCGGCGCCGGCGGGAGAAGAUGGGUCCAGAUCCAGGUCCGGCUGUAGAUGCUGUAAAUAAGGACCAGUGAAAGGGUCAUUUAGCAAAAACAAUACUACUACUCCAAAUGCAUGGAGGGGAAGGGGAAUGAGAGCACGUGUUGAGGUGAGGGGAGGGGAAGAAGGAUGAAAGCAGCCUGAGGGGAGGGCAGGCGUGCCCUAGAGUCAGACCGAGUGCACGUGUCCCGUGUUGUGCCUUGACGGUCAGUCGAACAUAAAAAUUGAAAAAAAAAACAUACAUAAAUCUUCGUGUAAAAUCAAUGAUAGAAUUUAGAUGUGCAAUGCGUAGAGUACAUCUAGAUGUGCUUUAGCAAAAUCGUUUUCUCGUGUCCUCUCCAUCAAAGACAUUGUUUAACUUAGGCCAACCUCAACGCGGGCGCUCCAACGGACGCGGAUGUUGCCCUUUUUUGUAUGUUUGGGUUGGCUAGGCAAACGGUCAAUGUUCGAUUUUUGUCCGCCGAACCAUAGAUUAGCCCAACGCGGACGACAGAUUUCAGAAUUAUAAAAAACUAGAGCCAAGAAAAAAAAUAAUGAAAUAGCCACCAGAAGUCCAGUUUACAUAAAUUAAAAUGAAAACAUAAAAAAAAUGAAAAUGAAAACAGGCACACGGUGGAUGCAGGCAGUGGCGGCGGCGUCAUCCUUCUCGGUCAAGUCGACGUACACCGGCGCAUCCAUCCACGAAGGCUGCUAGCGCCGCGCUGCACCUGUCGCCGCCUGCUGGACCGGUUGAGUGGUGUGUACAUGUGUGUCGUCUGCUGCUUGGCUACCAACGACGCGUGUCUCGGCCUCCUACAGGUGUCGUUGCUUCUCCUCUUCGUCACGCCUAGCGGAACAGGCGUGCCCAUGAAAUUGAACGCCGCAACUCCUCGAGCACAUGCGAUGCUUGCGGGUAAACCUGGGCAAACGUCGGGCCGGGCUUGUAAAAGCCCGACCUUCAUUUCUCAAGCCCGAGCCCGGCCCGAAGCCCGAAAUACUCCCUGAAAUCAAGCCCGAGCCCGGCCCGAAAUCAAGCCCGAAGCCCGAAAGCCCGGCCCGAACGCUGUUUUUUAGUACGUGUACGUGCAAGCCCGGCCCGAAGCCCGAAAGCCCGGCCCGAAAAAUAGAAAAAGACAAGCCCGAGCCCGGCCCGAACUACCUUUCGGGCUGCAAAACAAAGCCCGAGCCCGGCCCGAGUGUCAAGCCCGGCCCAACCCGGCCCGGGUUUUUCGGGCCGGGCUCGGGCCGGGCUGCCCAUGCCCGGGUUUACUUGCGGGUGUGGCCGCGGCCCGUUGGUCUCCACGCCGGUCGUUUAACUAAUUAAUGUUGAACCUUAUACUCCCACUAUUCCUUAAUACAGUGCAUAUAUGUUAUCUUAAAAGCCAAACUUUAUUAACUUUGACCAAGUUUAUAGAGAAUAAAAUACUUUAUAUAAUAAGAUGGACUAUCUCAUAUUAUUAUGUAUGUGAUAUUGUAGCUGUAGAUAAUUUCACCCAUAAACAUGUUUAGAGUUGACUCCUAAAAUAAUUUAUAUACACUAGAAGUAUUAAGCCUAAAACCUUACACACUCAAGACCACUUGUACCAUCGUUCAGGACAAAGGCCACUUCAAAGUUAUUGAUCCUAGGCCCCACGAUCAGCAGGCAUCGGCCUGGCUCGAUGAGAAUUUUGGGGGCCAUUGCUUUGGUUGAAGGAGAUUUACAUCUCCCACAAGGACCGGACGUGAAUACCCCGCAAAAAGAAAAGGACCGGACUUGAAGCACGAGAUGUGAUGUGUCCUCAUCCUAAUACUCUUUCGCUUUAUGUAUUUUCAACUUGUCUAGAUCACUCUCAUCGGUGUUAUUAAGCCAAAUCAUCAUUUCAUCUCAAGACUCAAUCUACAUGUGCCCAUCAUGUACCCCAACAAACGAGCAUAAACCCCCACCGAACCAGCCUAGACAAAGAUUACACCAAAAAGCGACGAGUCGGCCCACUGCAUGAAAUGCAGAAGAAAAGAACUGGCUUCGUGGUGGACCAAUAUGUCAAAGCCCAAUACCGCAAACCGGAAGGCCAUGGCUUCCCUAACAAUGCUCAUCUCUUGGGUUAUUUGAAACGAGAGAAAUUCUAGUGUUUAGAAAGAAAUCCACUAACAUUGUCAUGCUUAUCCACCCCUUCUACAUUCUCAAGCUCAUCCAGGACGAGGCAAGGCUUUUGGAUCACAGCGGGAGGUAGGCAUCUGAGCAUCAUCAUGCCGCACUUUUUUGUGUUGGUAGGUGUUCGUGAUGUAUAGUUAUCUCUAUUGGGCUAUGAUGUGGAACCAAUGUGAUGUGGAGUCAAGAAUACCAACAUGAGCAAAAUCCAGUUAGGUAGUUAUCGCAGAGAAAAAUACACCCUCUGUACUAAAUUUAAGCCGUUAAUAGGCCAUUAAAUUCUAGCUCUGCAUAACCCGGCAAUCCGGCCCAUGGGCACCCGAACCGAAUAAUAUUUAUAUGUAUAGAUUGUACUCCCUCCUUCCGGGAAAAGUUGUCACCGUGGCUUUUUUGCAAAAAAAAAAACCUUUGCUUUAGUCCGACACAACCCGCACUCCUCCGCCGCUCCUCUGCUCUGCUCAGCUCUACUCAGCUCCCUCGCUCGUCCUCCGCCGCAGCUCCCCUGCUCCGCUGCCUGUCCCCUCCUCCGCCGCCUCCCUGCUCCCGGUCCAUUUCCCCGUGCAGCUCCCGCCUCCCAUACCUAAAAAUCAUGUCUUCCCCCAAUCAACGGCAGCGAGGACGAAGCGGCGCUCGAUCUAGAGGGCACGGGGACGAGGGCAGCGACAAGUGUAGUUCUUAAUGAUGCAGAGCGCGGUGGAUGCUCCGGUGGGCUUCUACGGUGAACUCCAUCCUCUCCCUCCCCACCACCAGGACCACCUCCGGUCGCUCCCUUCCGCCCCGCGCCGCAACCACCCUCCCCUUCCCAAGAACCAUCGCCAGACCAUGUUCAUGUCGUCGGAAGGCGGGAGCACCAACGGCUCGUUGCUGGGGCUUCCCCCCUGGACGAGGAGGAGGACAACGAGGCCUGCCCCGUCAAUGGUUGCUGCUGAAUUGCAGUAUUCCUCGGGUCACGACGGUUGCUGUAUGUCCCAAUGUCAAAGGUUUGACAUUUGUUGCUGCUGAAUUGCAGUAUUCCCCGGGUAACGACGGUUGCUGCAUGUCCCAAUGUCAAAGGUUUGACAUUUGUUGCUGCUGAAUUGCAGUAUUCCUCGGGUCACGACGGUUGCUGUAUGUCCCAAUGUCAAAGGUUUGACAUUUGUUGCUGCUGAAUUAUGAAUUCUCAUCCUCUUUUCUUGUUGAUGUUGAAUGCUAAAUUCCGGCGAGCAGCUCCUCAGGUCGCCGGGCUUCUGGUGAAGAUCUUCGUGUGGGUCCUCGAGAUGCCGGUGGUGGGCUGGAUCUUGCUCUACAUCCUCAAGAAGGACAAUCUCAUCAACAAGGUGCAUGCACUUGUGCUGAAUGUUUUUUUAUGCCUGAGCGUCGCAAUUCUGAUUCUCAAUUCUACUCGCAUGUGUACGAUGUUUGUUCACCUGUAGGCAUUGAUCAGUACAGUUUCACCAAAGCAAUCUCUGGGCACAGUUAUUUUACAGCAGACAAUUCACUCUUCUGUGGUGUUUUUACUUUUUGCUGAAAUGCUCUGCUGAUUCAGAAAAACCAUUAGCUGCUGUUGCUGCAGACACCCUAGCCAAAUUCAGUUAACUUAAUCUGAAUAAUUCAGUUAACUUAACAGGGGAGCGUGUGUAUGCUGCGAACGAAUGCAUUUACUGAAUGUUAUUUUGAGGGACAUGUUUUUAUCAACUCUUAGUUAAGAUAAAUUAACCGUGUAAGGUGCUCUUUUGAUUACUAGUGAAGUGCUGCUCUAAAUAUCAUUGCAGCAAGAAAAACUUCAGUUUACUACAGUUUUCAGUUUGGAAUAGUGCACAAAAGACAAAUAGAUUCCUAUGCACUAUUGUGCGCUAUUCGGAGCACAAUUCAGUGUACUGCAGUUUAUUGCAUAAUUGUGCACUUUUUUAACACAUAACUUAGUCUGAAAAAAAAUUAAAAGCAACAAUGUCUAUUCCUGCUACCCUAGUUGAUCUAGUUAUGCAAAUGUUCAGAAAUGUCCAGUUUGUACAUUUUGAAAAAAGGCUGCCAUGGCCACAAAGGAUGCCAUGCAAGAUUGUUCACUUAAACUUCACUGUACAGCAACUUAAAUUUUGUGCAUCUACUGUUUACUCCACUGUACAAACUUGAAUUUGUGUGACAUGAGCUUUUGUUGGUUGCUACUCCACUAGAUAUUGACUGAUUAGACUAAACUGUAGGAUAGUGGUGCUGGUCCAUCUAGGGCACUACUCCCAUUUUUGCUCACAAUUAUUCAGAUAAGGACUACUCCUAGUAACAAAACAGAUCAUUUACUGAAAAUAGCUCUACAUAUUUUAGCAAUAGCUCUACAUUUACUGAAAAUAAACUUGAUGUACUGAGAAGAAACUUGGGCAUUGUUUACUGAAAAUAAACUUUAUCUACUGAAAAUAAACAAUCACUGAUCAGCAGCAGUUCUCAUCACCAUGAUAAGAUAAGCCAGAUGCUCUAUUUUUAAUUAACAGUAAUCCAUGAUCAGCAGCAGUUUCUUUCACUAAUUUUCAGUUAACAACAAUCCAUGAUUUUUUUUAUCAAGUGUGAUUUUGGGUAAAUAAGCCCUCUGUAAUUUAGAUCUUUACUACUGUCAAGUCUGACUUGUCAAUGAGAAACCAGUAACUAGUCAAUGUCAAAACUGUGAAAACUGAAAACAAAUUCAGUAAAUUUGAUCUUUUAUGCUGCAUUGCUGAAAAUUGACAGUAAAUUUUCAUGUACUGAAAUGAAGGCUCAAUGCUGCAUUGCUGACUGGAUAAAUUCAUUGCUGAACAAUUUCUGAACUUUAAUUUGUUCAUUGCGUAUAUGAAGGCUCUCUAGCACAUCAGGAUGAUCCACUCAUCAAAUUACAGACUAGAUGAUCCGCUGCUACUCUAAUUCACCUCAAUUUGAUCUGCACAACAAAUUAACAUCAAUUUGACAUUGAUUUCAGGGCGCUGGCUACCUUUCAGUAGCAGCAGAGGCGGCGAGGAGGAGCUGGGUCGCCUGGACGAAGAAGAAGAAAUCGGCAAGGAGGAAAGGGUGGGCGGCGGUGGUCGCCUCUGUAGCAGGUGGGCGGCGGCGUUGGGCCCUACAGUGUUUGCGCUGGUCACCUCGGUGCACGGCAGUGGAGCAGCGGCUGCCCGAGGUCUUGCCCAACUCCCACAGCAGAGUGCCCGGCCUUGGCACGCCGGGGUUGCGACCGGAGAUGCCGGGGUUGCGACCGGAGAUGCGAGCAGAACGACGAGUAGAGCCGCCCAUGAGCCGUGGAAUCACCGCCCGUCGAGGUGUCGCCGCGGAGGAGCAGGUGGGCGGCGGCAAAGCUCGCCUCCGCAGCGCAACUAGGCAAGGGCGGCGCAAGAUGGCAGCUGCGGGGCAGGUGGGCGGCGGCGCAAGUGGGACUUCAUCACGCGGUGCUCGCAGGCGAUGGGGGGAGACGAAGGCUAGAGCAUGCGGUGCCGGCGGGCGUCAGGGGAGGAAGAAGGGCUGAUUAGAACUAGAUUUAAAAUGAAAGGUUUUUUUUGUAAAGUUACAAUUGAACUACGCUGGUGACAACUUUUCCCGGACGGAGGGAGUAUAUUGGUAGUACAGUUGCAUCGAGGGGUAACGCAUAAAGCCAAGCCACUGACGUUAGCUAUCAAAAAUUUCAUUCCAAGCCAUGACAACUAAUAUUCUCGCACUCGGUUGCAUCCAAAUGGACAAGCAUGCUACCAGAUUGACCAUAUGGAUUACAGCACCGCCAACCACUUGUAUAUAUGACUUGAACAGGCAUCAGCCCAGAGAAGGGUGGACAUAUAAAAAAGCUUCAUUGCUGCUCCAAGGCAUACUUAUUACAACUAAUCAGAAAGCAUCAUCAGAACUAAUCAGACUUGAAGUACUUCAUGGUGGUAGUUCAUACUCUUGUAGCUUGUGAUUAUCUAAUAUCAAGAUUUCUAGGCGGGCAAUUUUAUUCAUAUACGUUUCAUGAAAAUUAUGUCGUUAAAGGAGGUAGUAGUUCAAGGUAGCCCACUGAAAGCUAAGGAAUUAACCACAUAGGAGAUCAAGAUGUAGAAUACACUGAAGUUCAAAUGAACAUAUUACUGGAAAUAUCAACGGUGCAUAGAAAGGGGGCAACACACAAGAGGCAAACAUAGACAUAUAUAGGGGAGGAGUGCUGCAGAUUAGGCUGCACCCCUGUGGGCCCUGGGAGUAAGCAUGUAGGCACGCAAUAUCCAACGCAUUCAUAUGGGCAAACCCCACUCUAUAUCCGAUACACUUGGCGAUCCGCGUUGCAGAUGCUCUUACACCCCUGUGUGACAUUUCAGCAUUCAAAUGGUUGCUCACUGAAAGCAAGCCAUCCCAAUUUGCACGCUUCCACCUAGUCACACAAAACCCUAACCCUAACACAUACCAUAAAUACAAGUGAUGGUAUCUGAUCUCAAUACACCUCUGAAUGAGCCUUACUCAUCAUCGCCAUCAACAGCACUUUGGCGCAAAUCCCACAAAGAGAACAACAGAGAAGCCAAUAGUCAAAGAGCGCAAGAUGGCAAGGAACCACAGGAGAAUCAGUAAAAGCAGAAAGAAUCACUAUAUCAGGAGCAAAUCAUGAACUGGUGGACACAAAAACUGGGACAUGUAUAAGUAAAUGGCUCAGAUACACUCCCAUCUCAACACUAUAACUGAAUUUCUGGUAGAAUGACCAUGAACAUUUAUAUUUGUGAACGGAGGGAAUAACAGUUAAGAAGGGAGCCUUGGAGCAGCGGUAAAGCUGUAGCCUUGUAACCUUGAGGUCAUGGGUUCGAGUCCUGGAAACAGCCUCUUGCAGAAAUGUAGGGAAAGGCUGCGUACUAUAGAUCCAAAGCGAUUGGACCCUUCCCCGGACCCUGUGCAAGCAGGAGCUACGUGCACCGGACUGCCCUUUAGGGAGUAAUAGUUAGCCGCUAAACUGGUUACUUGCUGUGACACAAGCCAUCCUAGUUUAGCACCAAGUAAAUCGAUUCAGGUGUUAAGAUAGAAGCUCUCACAGGGAGGUUAUAUCAUCACAGCCAUUCAUGAACAUGAUACGAAGAAAACAGUAAUCUUGACAGCUGAACUUGCCCUAUACGACCCUUAAGUUGAAACCAGUAAAGAAGUAACGCGAAACCAAAAGUACAAACUGAUAAGUAGAUAAAGAGUACAAUAGAAGGAUGAAAUUAUCAAGUCAAAUAGCAAUUGAAACAAGCAAACUGACCCAGCACCAAAUAAGAUAGUUUCAAAAGCCAUCCAAGGGACAGCAGAAUUAUCAUAGCCAUUCAAGAAGAAGGAAGAAACGGAAAAAGGAAAAAAAACAGAAGAAAUAAUUAAGUGUGGCUGGAGUACUGUUCCUAAAACAACAGAACUCGUUGACUACUGCAAAACCAACAAAAUGUGUAGGAAAAAAGGAAAAACAGUCCCUUGCAUCCACCAGACCAUGAUUUUACCGAAAGAACUAAUAUCAUAACCAAACUCUCAACAUAUCUUUAACAUAUACAUGGAUGCGAGCAAGCAAGAAAUACAAAUUCUCAGAAAGGAAAAGAUCAGUUCAAAUUUUGGGAAGGAAACACUUAUUUUUACUCAGAACUUUAUUGGGCGGGAGUCUCGGAAUUGGCCAAUUUAUAGAAGGUAGUCAUGGUAUUUUUGCAACAAGAGAUUAUAAGAGGUAGAUACAGGCUUAUGACAACAUUGUGUUUUUCCACGUAUUGCCUUCUAUAAGCAAUUAAAAUGGUCAUCAGCAGAAAGCAAACCGUGCAAAUUGUAUUCCUUGAGACCAGUUAGCAGUUGCUGUGCUGGACCAAAACAGUAGAAAAGAAGUUUGACAACUUGCCAACUUGAAUGUACAUCACUGCCAAAAGAACCAGUAAAAAUUUAAUAGGGGUAGUAAAUAAGGACAUGGAAUAUGACCAAAGAACUAGCCAUGGGCAAUUGGGCAGGGGUGCGAGGAAGCUAGCUAUCCAUGUGCCAGAACCAUGAGUUGGUUGCGAGAUCCUAUGGGUUUGCUGUUUUCCAUGUGCCAGCUCUAGCCUACCCCAACUUGUUUGGAACUAAAGGCUUUGCUGUUGUUGUUGGUAGUAAAGGAGGACAUGCACAGAUCAUCUUCCGCAUAUUUAACCACUCAACAGAAUGACCAUCCAAGACAGAGCCAUCAAUAUUCGGUCAGAAUGAAAAGGUCAUAAAAGAGGGGAGAGCGUUUUUUUAAUACCCACGGCUCCUCGAAUAAUCGAAGACAGGUUUAUUGUCAGCCAAGUUUGAUCAUCAUCGCCCCUUAUAAAUAGAUAGAGAGAUCCCUUUGCGCAUGCAACAGGUAAGGGUGAAAAGUCGGUUGGACCAGAUACAGAAUAUCUGCAGCUAAGCACAGUAUCAGCAGCUGGAGGGCGAUUAGAACAUGAGGAAUAGUUCACAAAAUCCUGGGGAAUUUUUGGGGAGUACUAUUUGAAUGAGUGACUCAAACACCAUGAAUCACCAAAGUUGGGAAAUGCUUCAGGUGGUACAAAGUACUGGGAAAUUUUUGGGGAGUACUAUUUGAAUGAAUGAAGUGGUACCAUAAACAAUAAAAUAUCUGUCUCCCUCUCCCUCUCUCUCUCCAGCAACAAAUUGCCGCAACUAGUAACUUGCUGCAGCGCAAGGCCUCCUAGUUUAACGACCAGCUGUCUAACUGGGCAAAUUUGAAUGGAACCAACCUAGGAGACGUGAAAGCAUCUCUAUCACAAGAUAGUUGAAAGAUCUCCAACGCCAAGGGGCAGAAAUCACCAUAGCCAUUCAGAAAAUAAUAAAACUCAUCAACACACAACGGAAACAAAUAUGCUGUGUUCAGAAGUUAACUUGGAACACUGCACUGAUGUCCGUAUUACUGGCAACGAAAGAAGCAAUUGACAUUUGUACACUUCAGAUAAAAGGAGUAACUACAAGCCAAAUAAAAAUAGGAUGACAUAAACUUUCCGUUUUGAAACAGCAGAAAAGCAUAAGCUUGCAAAAAGGGAUGCACAUAAUACAAACAGAAAACAGGAAAUGCAGCUCGCCCGUUUAUCCCAUGAAAAAUGGGUUCUAAUGCUAAAUAGUCAGACAUGUAACACUGGAUAGUGGCAAUACUAUUCCACCAUGAAACUGAACAGCGGUCAGUCCAACCUCUGGCAAAAUGAAAACACAGCCAAAUCAAGAAUACUGAAUAAAAUUUAAAAUAUAUAAUGAGAAGAGGGCCAACCGCCAACAUAUAAAUCCCAAAUGACUCAAGCAAAAGCUCCAGGAGGACAUCCAGUUAUGAUAAGACAAAAUCAAGGUUUUUGAGUCGAUGAGUCGGCGAGUCGCUCAGGGGGGGCGACUCUAGACUAGUCGUGACUCAUGGUCGACGAGUCGACAUGCGAUGAGUCGACGUGAGUUAAGUAGUAGGGAGCAGACCAGCGGCAACUAAGGGAGGAGCCGCAGCAGCAAGAGAUGGGAGGGGCAGACCUGCAGUAGCAGCAACCAAGGGAUGAGCAGCAGCAACCAGGGGAGAAGGGGACGAGCAGCCAGCCAGCGGCAGCGGCUGCUGCAGAAGAGAGCUGGGUCGGGGGAGGGGAGUGGAACUGUUCGAUCUAGGUUUCCAGACGCUCCAAUCUUCCUUCAAUAUUGGCCCAGAAGCAAUAUUAGCCCAAUAAGGCCCAAUGAAACCCUAGCCUGCCUAGCUCAAUCUGAACCAUCUAUAUUCUCUAAUCUUCACCGUCCAUCCACUCUCUUCUUUCUCUCUCUCUCACCUGCUCCCCUUCCAGCCUCCAGGAACGAAUCGACAGCCGCAAUGGCCUUGCUGCAGCUCCUCUUCCAUGGCUUCUCUGCCUUCGCCCCUUCCUCUCCGCCUCCCCCAUCCUUCUCUGCUCCGUUUUCUACGCCCAACUCCUCUUCCAUCACAGGUUGAUCGAGUCGUUCGACUCAAAAACCGCGACUAGUCGAGACUAGUCGGGACUAGUCGAUCAAGUCGCUCGACUCAUCCAAUGAUUCGAGUCGACAGGUUGAGUCAACCUUCAUGUAACGACUCGUCGACUAGUCGACGACUAGUCGCGACUAGUCGUUCGACUCGAAAUCCAUGGACAAAAUAUAAGAGCCUUUCUAACAAAUACACUUUUGCAGUUGAUAAAUUUAUUUGACACUCAUUUCGAAUCCGUGCAAGGGAUCUGUGCCACGUUGAUGCAUCAGAAAUGUGGCAGUUAAUAUUGACAGCAGCAGCUAAAGAAUAGACUAACUACCAAUGAACUAAAUAGCAUAGAGAAUCAUAACAAAAGGUCUGCUCUGACCAAAACAAAUAUGAAGGUAAUAUGAGCUUCAGAUUAUAAAAAACAGAGACAUAGCAGAUCAAAGGGCAAUCGAUAACCAGAUGAAUAGAACUGUCAAUAGCUACAAGCAUUGGAGGAAAAAAGGGCAAUCGUUUGACUCAUAUAUAGUACGUACAACUAGAAAGGCAAAAACGAUGCCAACUAGAAACCAACCCAAGUAAAGCUAGGGUUGUUGGGUUCGUCACCAAGAGAAGAUAUCAAUCCAGAUCCGGAUCUCACAUCAACACAAUAGAGAAAUAGAAAAUUAAAAACAAUGUAUAGUGGAGAAAAAAAAACUGAGUAUUUGUAGCGUAGCAAGAGGGCUCAGUUUUGCCUUUUAUCUUGAAGCCCAACACUCACGUCUCUUGCUGCAUAACCUACCCAUCGCGAUGUAAUUGAACUGCCCUGGUUAUCACUCAUCAGAAUGACCAUCCGAGGCGCAGAACAUCCAACAUUAGCCAUGAAUUGAAUAGGCUGCAAGAGAAGUAAGGGUGAGAGCUCUUAAGGGCAUCUCCAACGCCGGCACCCAUUUGGGGCCUAUUUAGUACCCACAUGCCACGGCUGUCUUGAUUGCUCAACACAUAAUUAUUUCAGCCGCAGGCAUCAUCAUCGCCCUUUUUUUUUAAAAAAAAAAAGGUCAAACCCCCCAAGCAACAUGACCAUAACAUCCAUCAUCCAUCCAUCCAUUCAUCCAUCAGACUAGCCAUAGUGGUGAGUAACUUAGACAAUCUCAGGAGCUGCUCAUACCUGGCCUUGACCGACCAAACCUCCUGGUGUGGACGACACAUCAGACAACGCCUUACGGUUCCCAGCCACGCCACAACCAAAUCCAAGGCAAUGGACUGGCGGCGGCUGGCAGCACCGUAGAGACCGGGAACUGACAUGGCAGCUACCCGGACGAUGGGUCAGCGAGUCGGCAAUGAAAGCUUGACUGAUUUGUUUAAGGGAGAGANNNNNNNNNNNNNNNNNNNNNNNNNNNNNNNNNNNNNNNNNNNNNNNNNNNNNNNNNNNNNNNNNNNNNNNNNNNNNNNNNNNNNNNNNNNNNNNNNNNNNNNNNNNNNNNNNNNNNNNNNNNNNNNNNNNNNNNNNNNNNNNNNNNNNNNNNNNNNNNNNNNNNNNNNNNNNNNNNNNNNNNNNNNNNNNNNNNNNNNNNNNNNNNNNNNNNNNNNNNNNNNNNNNNNNNNNNNNNNNNNNNNNNNNNNNNNNNNNNNNNNNNNNNNNNNNNNNNNNNNNNNNNNNNNNNNNNNNNNNNNNNNNNNNNCUCAGUUUUGCAUUUCAUCUUCAAACCCAACACUCACAUCUCUUGCUGCAUAAUCUACCCAUCACAAUGUAAGAGAACUGCCCUGGUUAUCACUCAUCAGAAUGACCGUCCAAGGUGCAGAACAUCCAACAUUACCGAUGAAUUGAACAGGCUGCAAGGGAGGUAAGGGUGGGCUCUAAUUUAGUACCCACAGGCCAGUCAUCAUCAUCGCCCCUCAUUUUUUACCGAAAAGGAGGUUGUACCCCCGGCCUUUGCCCACCAAGCAAGAUGACCCUCAUAUCCAUACAUACAUACUCCCUCUGUAAAGAAAUAUAAGAGCGCUUAGAUCAUGCUCCCUCCGUUUCUAAAUAUAAGCCUUUAUAGAGAUUCCAAUAUGGACUACAUACGGAGCAAAAUGAGUGAAUUUACAUGCGUGCACAUGUCCACCCAUCCAACCCCAUCAGCCUCAGGAGCUACUCAUGCCUGGCCUGGACCGAACAACCAAACCUGAUGACGCCCCAGAUAACACCGUAUGGUUCCCGGCUCACGCCACAGCCAAUUCCAAGGCAAUGGAACGGCAGAGGCUGGCAGCACCGCAGCAGUGAACUGAAGAGGGCACCACCCAGACGAUUGGACAGCGAGUUGGCAAUGAGAGCUCGACUGAUUUGGCUUAGGGUUAGAGGUAGAGGGGUGGGGGUAUAUGUAGCAUAGCAAAAGAGGCUCAGUUUUGUCUUCCAUCUUCAAGCCCAAACCCUCACCAUCUCUUGCUGCAUAAUCUACCCAUCACGAUGUAAGAGAACUGCCAUGGUUAUCACUCAACAGAAUGACCAUCCGAGGCACAAAGCAACCAACAUCAGCAAUGAAUUGGACAGGCUGCAAGAGAG
RNAcentral lists this long non-coding RNA (27880 nucleotides) under Triticum aestivum (bread wheat). RNAcentral describes it as "long non-coding RNA (TAES_LNC016994)". The record is from RNAcentral. Lineage: Eukaryota; Viridiplantae; Streptophyta; Magnoliopsida; Poales; Poaceae.